CAGCCGCCGCGGUAAGACGAACCGUGCGAACGUUAUUCGGAAUCACUGGGCUUAAAGCGCGUGUAGGCGGGACGGCACGUCGACUGCUGAAAUCCCUCGGCUUAACCGAGGAAGUGGCAUCGAUACGACCGUCCUGGAGGAACGUAGGGGGACCUGGAACUUCCGGUGGAGCGGUGAAAUGCGUUGAGAUCGGAAGGAACGCCCGUGGCGAAAGCGAGGUCCUGGACGUUUUCUGACGCUGAGGCGCGAAAGCUAGGGGAGCGAACGGGAUUAGAUACCCCCGUAGUCCCUGUCUCUUAUA
This 301-nucleotide ribosomal RNA is filed under the name uncultured bacterium. Its description in RNAcentral is "partial 16S ribosomal RNA". It matches the Rfam family "Bacterial small subunit ribosomal RNA", at positions 509 to 808 of the family's 1533-position model. The record is from RNAcentral.